Long non-coding RNA from Bombus terrestris (buff-tailed bumblebee), 1159 nucleotides. RefSeq lists it as uncharacterized. The record is from RefSeq and is a predicted model, not a curated record. The transcript has 5 exons. NCBI's taxonomy places the organism in Eukaryota, Metazoa, Arthropoda, Insecta, Hymenoptera, Apidae.
UAAUUGGGGUAGGAGAUACGCGUCGUUCGAGGAGUCACCAUGUGAAGACUGAAUGCGUAUAAAUAUGUUACAAGUGGGGUGAAAAGUAGAUCAGAACGUCUAAAUACCAACGGUGGACGUACGUCGUGACUUAGAAAGUGUUAAUCGUGCAAUUGACCGACGUUUCCGUUUACGCUGUACCCUCGGUAGAACUGGUUUGUCACUAUGCUACGUGUACAUUGAUAAAUAAAUCUAUCGAUGUGCAUGGCUCUUGAAACUGUAUUUAUCUCAAUUAAAUAUCGUUUGCUACUGAGAACGUGAUAAGGAUAAUGAAAAUACGCCAACGCAUUUUCGCUUUUGAGAUCAAGUGAAACUGGAGCUUGACACAAAUAGGGAAAACAUACAUAUUAUAUAUUUUCAGUUACGCUUGUAAUGCAGAGGAAAACAUGAAGACUUGCAAACUUUUCUUUCUAUGAUUUUAUGAAUAGUUUAAUUUUCUACGAGAAGUUUGUUCAAAAUAUAGAAAAAAAUUGCUCGAAAAGUUCUUUUUGUGGUUAGAAAGCUAACUAUGUGUGUAUAAUAAAUAGUAAUAUCGUAAGAAUAUGUAAAUUAUUAGAAAUUUAUGUUAAAUUAUGUGUACACGAUUGUAUAGUACGUAUAAAGCAAACAUAUGCUAGUAACAAGUCAAGGAUAUCAUACUGUUUACCUGUUUUUUAUCCUUCAUGUGCCUAAGUAUAAAUACACUUAGGUAUAUAUAACUUAAAAUAUCUUUUAAAUGAGUUAAAUAUAUGUAUAAUGAUAUACAUGAUAAAUUUGAAUCCCGUGCGCGGCGCUGAUUGGAAAAGUAAUUUUGUCGCAUUAGCCAGUCAGAAAUUAACUAAACGAUUCUGUAGACGCGAACGUCAUUCUCCCGCCGAAAACCGUGGCAUAAACAUUACGAUCCGGUUUCAGCAUUUACUAACAUUACGAGACUGUGAGGUUUGAUGAUUCAUUCCUUCGUGGUGACGAUUUCUGAGCUCCAAGAGCCAAGAAUAUUUUUCACAUUACGCCAUGGAAUGCAGUGGGUCUUUUUUGAUGACUGCUUUUGCGAUAGCUUAGGACGAUUUACUGCAGCGUUGGUGGCAACAUCCUUCGCAUCUAAUCCAGGUUCAACUACCGUUCAGAGUAAGUCUCCGUUCAC